Molecule: ribosomal RNA, 495 nt
Filed under: uncultured bacterium
Lineage: Bacteria
Description: bacterial SSU rRNA
Rfam family: Bacterial small subunit ribosomal RNA
Source: RNAcentral
GAUGAACGCUGGCGGCGUGCCUAAUACAUGCAAGUCGAACGCAUUGUGGUUGAAAUGAUAUGAAGAACUUGUUCAGAUUUGAUUUUCAACAUUGCAAUGAGUGGCGAACGGGUGAGUAACACGUGGGAAACCUACCUCUUAGCAGGGGAUAACAUUUGGAAACAAAUGCUAAUACCGUAUAAUAAUUAAAACCGCAUGGUUUUAGUUUAAAAGAUGGUCUUGCUAUCACUAAGAGAUGGUCCCGCGGUGUAUUAGUUAGUUGGUGAGGUAAUGGCUCACCAAGACAAUGAUACAUAGCCGAGUUGAGAGACUGACCGGCCACAAUGGGACUGAGACACGGCCCAUACUCCUACGGGAGGCAGCAGUAGGGAAUCUUCCACAAUGGACGAAAAGUCUGAUGGAGCAACGCCGCGUGUGUGAUGAAGGUUUCGGCUCGUAAAACACUGUUGUAAGAGAAGAAUGACAUUGAAGAGUAACUGUUCAAUGUGUGACGGU